UUGAAAGGGAAACGAUUGAAGUCAGUCGUACCGACGGACAAUCAGCCUUUUGAGUGAGAUUGUGUGGGGCAUGAGGAGGAAACCCUCAUGUUUUGCAUAUUUGUGCUCUUUGGGCGUAUUUGUUCGUAUGGUGGGUUAACAUCAAUUUUGGUCGUCAUAAAAUGACGGGAGGAAUGUAGCUUUGGUCUCGUAUUGAAGUGUUAUAGCCUCUGGUAGAUGUGACGACCGGGAUUGAGGAUUGCAACGGAUACCUCUCGGGGCUACUCGCCUGAUCUCUGAUCGUUACUCUGGUGCCGAAAGCUUGCUUAUGUCAUCAAAGUUGAUGGUCAAAAGGUUAGAACCGGGUUAAAUUCAUUAAGGAUGUUGACGUA
This 371-nucleotide ribosomal RNA is filed under the name Glomus sp. acp44. RNAcentral describes it as "eukaryotic LSU rRNA". Lineage: Eukaryota; Fungi; Glomeromycota; Glomeromycetes; Glomerales; Glomeraceae. The record is from RNAcentral.